ACCUCGGCCAGAAUACUUGAGGGGUUAUCUGCCUCCAGCCAUUGGAAAUCUAACUCGCUUGCAGUACUUGAGCUUGGGCAUCAAUCGUUAUCAGGGGAGCUUCCCAAGGAAUUGGGAGAUCUUACCGAGUUAAUAUCACUGGCUCUUGGAGCAAACAACUUC
Molecule: long non-coding RNA, 162 nt
Organism: Prosopis cineraria
Lineage: Eukaryota; Viridiplantae; Streptophyta; Magnoliopsida; Fabales; Fabaceae
Exons: 3
Source: RefSeq, a predicted model, not a curated record